Molecule: ribosomal RNA, 253 nt
Filed under: uncultured bacterium
Lineage: Bacteria
Description: partial 16S ribosomal RNA
Rfam family: Bacterial small subunit ribosomal RNA
Source: RNAcentral
UACGGGGGGGGCAAGCGUUGUUCGGAAUUACUGGGCGUAAAGGGCCAGUAGGCGGCCAACUAAGUCCGACGUGAAAUCCCAAGGCUUAACCUUGGAACUGCGUCUGAUACUGGAUGGCUUGGAUUCGGGAGAGGAAUGCGGAAUUCCAGGUGUAGCGGUGAAAUGCGUAGAUAUCUGGAGGAACACCGGUGGCGAAGGCGGCAUUCUGGACCGACAUUGACGCUGAGGAGCGAAAGCCAGGGGAGCAAACGGG